This 257-nucleotide ribosomal RNA is filed under the name uncultured Pseudomonas sp. Its description in RNAcentral is "partial 16S ribosomal RNA". It matches the Rfam family "Bacterial small subunit ribosomal RNA", at positions 96 to 354 of the family's 1533-position model. Lineage: Bacteria; Pseudomonadati; Pseudomonadota; Gammaproteobacteria; Pseudomonadales; Pseudomonadaceae. The record is from RNAcentral.
CGGCGGACGGGUGAGUAAUGCCUAGGAAUCUGCCUGGUAGUGGGGGACAACGUUUCGAAAGGAACGCUAAUACCGCAUACGUCCUACGGGAGAAAGCAGGGGACCUUCGGGCCUUGCNCUAUCAGAUGAGCCUAGGUCGGAUUAGCUAGUUGGUGAGGUAAUGGCUCACCAAGGCGACGAUCCGUAACUGGUCUGAGAGGAUGAUCAGUCACACUGGAACUGAGACACGGUCCAGACUCCUACGGGAGGCAGCAGAC